UACAGAGGGUGCGAGCGUUAAUCGGAAUUACUGGGCGUAAAGCGCGCGUAGGUGGCUUUGUAAGUCGAUUGUGAAAUCCCCGGGCUCAACCUGGGAACUGCAGUCGAGACUGCAAUGCUAGAGUAUGGGAGAGGGAAGUGGAAUUUCCGGUGUAGCGGUGAAAUGCGUAGAUAUCGGAAGGAACAUCAGUGGCGAAGGCGACUUCCUGGACCAAUACUGACACUCAAGUGCGAAAGCGUGGGGAGCAAACAGG
RNAcentral lists this ribosomal RNA (253 nucleotides) under uncultured bacterium. RNAcentral's name for it is "partial 16S ribosomal RNA". It matches the Rfam family "Bacterial small subunit ribosomal RNA", at positions 524 to 776 of the family's 1533-position model. The record is from RNAcentral.